AGAGUUUGAUCCUGGCUCAGAUUGAACGCUGGCGGCAUGCCUUACACAUGCAAGUCGAACGGUAACAGGUCUUCGGAUGCUGACGAGUGGCGAACGGGUGAGUAAUACAUCGGAACGUGCCCGAGAGUGGGGGAUAACGGAGCGAAAGCUUUGCUAAUACCGCAUACGAUCUACGGAUGAAAGCAGGGGACCGCAAGGCCUUGCGCUCAUGGAGCGGCCGAUGGCAGAUUAGGUAGUUGGUGGGAUAAAAGCUUACCAAGCCGACGAUCUGUAGCUGGUCUGAGAGGACGACCAGCCACACUGGGACUGAGACACGGCCCAGACUCCUACGGGAGGCAGCAGUGGGGAAUUUUGGACAAUGGGCGCAAGCCUGAUCCAGCCAUGCCGCGUGCAGGAUGAAGGCCUUCGGGUUGUAAACUGCUUUUGUACGGAACGAAAAGACUCUGGAUAA
This 451-nucleotide ribosomal RNA is filed under the name uncultured bacterium. RNAcentral's name for it is "bacterial SSU rRNA". It matches the Rfam family "Bacterial small subunit ribosomal RNA", at positions 8 to 463 of the family's 1533-position model. The record is from RNAcentral.